AUGCUCCCUUUGGCAACACAUAUAUUAAAAUUGGAAUGAUACAGGGAAGAUUACUAUGGUCCUGCACAAGGAUGACAAUUAUAGAGUAUUCCAAUUUUUU
RNAcentral lists this small nuclear RNA (100 nucleotides) under Jaculus jaculus (lesser Egyptian jerboa). Lineage: Eukaryota; Metazoa; Chordata; Mammalia; Rodentia; Dipodidae. The record is from RNAcentral.